GACAGCAGCCAUAUCACCCUGCAACUCACAACUGGCAGCCCCCUGAAGCUAAGCAGGUGUGAGCCUGGUCAGUACCUGGAUGGGAGACCUCCUGGGAAAAACUAAGGUUGCUGCUGGAA
This is a ribosomal RNA of Lepisosteus oculatus (spotted gar), 119 nucleotides long. NCBI's taxonomy places the organism in Eukaryota, Metazoa, Chordata, Actinopteri, Semionotiformes, Lepisosteidae. The record is from Ensembl.